GGUGGGUUGGCUUGUCAGGUUGAUUCCGGUAACGAACGAGACCUCAGCCUGCUAAAUAGUAGCUCUCGGUUCGCCGGGAGGCAGACUUCUUAGAGGGACUAUUAGCGACUAUCAGCUAAUUGAAGUAUGAGGCAAUAACAGGUCUGUGAUGCCCUUAGAUGUUCUGGGCCGCACGCGCGCUACACUGACGCAAUCAACGAGCCUCCUGGUCUCGAGAGGACCGGGUAAUCUUGUAAACUGCGUCGUGAUGGGGCUAGAGCUUUGUAAUUAUUGCUCUUCAACGAGGAAUGCCUAGUAAGCGCGAGUCAUCAGCUCGCGU
This 319-nucleotide ribosomal RNA is filed under the name Printzina cf. lagenifera TreFl60. RNAcentral describes it as "SSU rRNA". It matches the Rfam family "Eukaryotic small subunit ribosomal RNA", at positions 1300 to 1641 of the family's 1831-position model. Lineage: Eukaryota; Viridiplantae; Chlorophyta; Ulvophyceae; Trentepohliales; Trentepohliaceae. The record is from RNAcentral.